This is a long non-coding RNA of Oncorhynchus tshawytscha (Chinook salmon), 1313 nucleotides long. The record is from Ensembl. NCBI's taxonomy places the organism in Eukaryota, Metazoa, Chordata, Actinopteri, Salmoniformes, Salmonidae.
GGGCUGGAGACAGGAGGAGAGGGGCUGGAGACAGGAGGAGAGGGGCUGGAGACAGGAGGAGAGGGGCUGGAGACAGGAGGAGAGGGGCUGGAGACGGAGAGGAGAGGGGCUGGAGACAGGAGGAGAGGAGAGGGGCUGGAGACAGGAGGAGAGGAGAGGGGCUGGAGACAGGAGGAGAGGAGAGGGGCUGGAGACAGGAGGAGAGGAGAGUGGCUGGAGACAGGAGGAGAGGAGAGUGGCUGGAGACAGGAGGAGAGGAGAAGGGCUGGAGACAGGAGGAGAGGAGAGGGGCUGGAGACAGGAGGAGAGGAGAGUGGCUGGAGACAGGAGGAGAGGAGAGGGGCUGGAGACAGGAGGAGAGGAGAAGGGCCGGAGCUAGCAGAAGAGGAGCUGGAGACAGGAGGAGAGGACUGGGGCUAGAGACCAGAGGAGAGGGGGCUGCAGUGUGGAGCCCAGCCCAGGGGUGGCCAGGAGAUGGACAAUUGGACCUACUAUAACUGACCAGGGUGUUGCCAUGGAGACAGGUCGGAACAGAGGGCAGAUUCAUUGCAAGACUCUUAUUGGUUGUUAGUUAUUUGUUUUCUAUUCUGUUAAGUGUUGACACCACAUGAACUAUUUAAAGACUUUAAUGUAUGAUGAUGUGAAGGACUUACCUGCAGAAGCUCUCUGUAUCCCCCCUCUCUCUGACUAAACUUCUUAACUAUCAUUAUAAACACAUUACCAUCACAAUAGGAAGAAGGGUUUGACUAAACGGCUGAACAGCUUUUACCCAGGUCUUUUGGGCCUUCAUUGUGACCACACGACUUAGAUAUUUGUUACUGUCUGUAUUCUGUUGUUGAGCCAGACCAAAGGGGGCCAACCAAGUCGUUAGUCUGCCAAGACCUGGCCUGUGUCCCAAAUUGGUCCUGGUCUAAAGUAGUGCACUACAAAGGGAAUAGGCUUCCAUUGGGUCCUGGUCUAAAGUAGUGCACUACAAAGGGAAUAGGGUUCCAUUGGGGACAUAGACCUGUUCAUAAUUUUAACUUUCUGUUGCCAAGUAUGUUGAUCCAUUAACUGAAAGCUUGGUGACCUGUUUUACCAAACUCUCGCUUUGGCCAGAUUCCACCCCAAAGUCUGUCGUUGUCAAACACGACUGAUCAUAAAGUGUGUACAUUCCAGAUGUUUUAAUGUCAGACAUUCAGGUUAACACACUCUGUCCUGGACAAAGAUCGAGAGACACUCCCUUGCCUAUGGUCAAUCUACAGUUAUGGUCUAUAGAUGGCCUGAAUUGCUUACAGGAGGUGUAUUGAUGGCAUUAAUGCAAUUGAUGGGCA